AUGGAGGCCCCCCCUCGCCGGCCGCCUCCCGCCCGCUCCGACAAGCCGCGCCCUUCCUCCUCGCCCACGCGCCUCCCCUUCCCUUCUUGCUCGCCGCCGCCCAGGUGGGUUCACCGGCGAGGUCCGUGUGCCGCGGGAGUGGCGUGGCCGUCGCUGCUGGCCUCCUCUGCCUCUGCAAGUCUCUUCUCUCAAGUCCGCGCGCCGCCUGAGCGAGCCGACACAAGCAGGAGGGGCAAGUUGAGCAUGGGAUUUUUUCGUUGGUCCAUCCAUUUUUCUUGCUCGGUUGCAAGCCCAUCCUUCGAUUUGUAG
Molecule: ribosomal RNA, 309 nt
Filed under: Triticum aestivum (bread wheat)
Lineage: Eukaryota; Viridiplantae; Streptophyta; Magnoliopsida; Poales; Poaceae
Description: partial small subunit ribosomal RNA
Source: RNAcentral